AAAGGGUGGUAAUGCCGGAUGCUCCAGUUGAUCGCAUGGUCUUCUGGGAAAGCUUUCGCGGUAUGGGAUGGGGUCGCGUCCUAUCAGCUUGACGGCGGGGUAACGGCCCACCGUGGCUUCGACGGGUAGCCGGCCUGAGAGGGCGACCGGCCACAUUGGGACUGAGAUACGGCCCAGACUCCUACGGGAGGCAGCAGUGGGGAAUAUUGCACAAUGGGCGCAAGCCUGAUGCAGCGACGCCGCGUGAGGGAUGGAGGCCUUCGGGUUGUAAACCUCUUUUAUCGGGGAGCAAGCGAGAGUGAGUUUACCCGUUGAAUAAGCACCGGCUAACUACGUGCCAGCAGCCGCGGUAAUACGUAGGGUGCAAGCGUUAUCCGGAAUUAUUGGGCGUAAAGGGCUCGUAGGCGGUUCGUCGCGUCCGGUGUGAAAGUCCAUCGCUUAACGGUGGAUCCGCGCCGGGUACGGGCGGGCUUGAGUGCGGUAGGGGAGACUGGAAUUCCCGGUGUAACGGUGGAAUGUGUAGAUAUCGGAAAAGAACACCA
Molecule: ribosomal RNA, 542 nt
Filed under: Bifidobacterium longum
Lineage: Bacteria; Bacillati; Actinomycetota; Actinomycetes; Bifidobacteriales; Bifidobacteriaceae
Description: bacterial SSU rRNA
Rfam family: Bacterial small subunit ribosomal RNA
Source: RNAcentral